GUAGGUGAACCUGCGGAAGGAUCAUUACAGAGUUCAUGCCCUUAGGGGUAGAUCUCCCACCCUUUGAGUACUAUACUUUUGUUGCUUUGGCAGGCCGCUUCGGCUACCGGCUUAGGCUGGUGAGUGCCUGCCAGAGGACCCCAAACUCUGAAUUGUUAGUGUCGUCUGAGUACUAUAUUUUAAUAGUUAAAACUUUCAACAACGGAUCUCUUGGUUCUGGCAUCGAUGAAGAACGCAGCAUCUGACUGAC
Molecule: unclassified non-coding RNA, 250 nt
Filed under: plant metagenome
Description: partial contains small subunit ribosomal RNA, internal transcribed spacer 1, and 5.8S ribosomal RNA
Source: RNAcentral